GACGAACGCUGGCGGCGUGCCUAACACAUGCAAGUCGAGCGAUGAAGCUCCUUCGGGAGUGGAUUAGCGGCGGACGGGUGAGUAACACGUGAGUAACCUGCCUCAAAGUGGGGGAUAGCCUUCCGAAAGGAAGAUUAAUACCGCAUAACAUCAUUUAACCGCAUGGUUGAAUGAUCAAAGAUUUAUUGCUUUGAGAUGGACUCGCGGCGCAUUAGCUAGUUGGUGAGGUAACGGCUCACCAAGGCAACGAUGCGUAGCCGACCUGAGAGGGUGAUCGGCCACAUUGGGACUGAGACACGGCCCAGACUCCUACGGGAGGCAGCAGUGGGGAAUAUUGCGCAAUGGGCGAAAGCCUGACGCAGCAACGCCGCGUGAGUGAUGAAGGUCUUCGGAUUGUAAAGCUCUGUCUUCAGGGACGAUAAUGACGGUACCUGAGGAGGAAGCCACGGCUAACUACGUG
This 460-nucleotide ribosomal RNA is filed under the name uncultured bacterium. RNAcentral describes it as "bacterial SSU rRNA". It matches the Rfam family "Bacterial small subunit ribosomal RNA", at positions 28 to 507 of the family's 1533-position model. The record is from RNAcentral.